UACGGAGGGUGCAAGCGUUAUCCGGAUUCACUGGGUUUAAAGGGUGCGUAGGAGGAUAGGUAAGUCAGUGGUGAAAUCUCCGGGCUUAACUCGGAAACUGCCGUUGAUACUAUCUAUCUUGAAUCCCGUGGAGGUGAGCGGAAUAUGUCAUGUAGCGGUGAAAUGCUUAGAUAUGACAUAGAACACCAAUUGCGAAGGCAGCUCACUACGCGAAGAUUGACUCUGAGGCACGAAAGCGUGGGGAUCAAACAGG
Molecule: ribosomal RNA, 253 nt
Filed under: uncultured Flavisolibacter sp.
Lineage: Bacteria; Pseudomonadati; Bacteroidota; Chitinophagia; Chitinophagales; Chitinophagaceae
Description: partial 16S ribosomal RNA
Rfam family: Bacterial small subunit ribosomal RNA
Source: RNAcentral